AUGGACCCCUCCGAGCGCCCCGCCGUCGUAUUCGACAACGGCACAGGGUACAACCCCGAAUCUCUCCGUCCGAUCCUGCGGCUGUACCGCUGGUAUAGCAAACUUGGGUUUGCUGGUAACUCCGAGCCGUCUUUCACCAUCCCUACUGUAGUAGCUGUGAAUGAAUCUUUCUUGGACCAAUCAGAGCAGUGCAGUAGUGCAAAUUGGCUAGCACAGUAUAAUGCAGGUGUCAUGGCUGAUCUUGAUUUUUUUAUCGGGGAUGAGGCUCUGUCACAUUUCAAAUCUAGUGGCCUGUACAGUUUAAGAAGCCCAAUUCGUCAUGGUCAGGUGAAUGACUGGGAUACAAUGGAGAGAUUUUGGCAGCAAUCCAUUUUCAAUUAUCUACGGUGCAAUCCUGAGGAACACUACUUCCUACUUACAGAUAGUCCUGUCAGUACGCCGGAAAGUCGUGAAUGUAUGGGAGAAAUUAUGUUUGAGACCUUUAAUGUCCCUGGUCUAUAUAUUUCUGUGCAAUCUGUGCUCAGCCUUUCUGCUGGAUUUGCAUAUCUGAAAAGUCUUUCUGAAGAGGAUUCAGAAGAUUCUGUGUCUGAUAUGACAGGUGUAGUAGUUGACAUUGGGGAUGGAGCUCCACAUAUUGUGCCAGUUGUAAACGGCUAUGUAAUUGGGAGUAGCAUAAAGUCUUUUCCUCUUUCCGGAAGUGAUGUAACUCAGUUUGUUAUGCAGCUCUUACAGGAAAGGGGUGAGCUUCUUCCACCUGAUGAUGCUUUGGAUAUAGCUCGUAGGGUGAAAGAAACGUAUUGCUAUACUCCUUCAGACAUUGUCAAGGAGUUCAAGAAGCAUGACAGCAAGCCUAGUAAAUAUAUCAAACAAUGGUCUGCAAUCAAACCGAAGACUGGGGUUCCAUACACAAUUGACGUUGGAUAUGAGCGUUUUCUUGGACCAGAGAUCUUCUUCCAUCCUGAGAUGUAUUCUGCUGACUUCUCCACUCCUUUACCUGAACUGAUUGACAGCUGCGUUCAAUCUGCACCAAUUGACACAAGGAGAGCUUUGUAUAAGAACAUAGUAUUAUCUGGUGGAACUACCAUGUUUAAAGACUUCCACAAGAGACUCCAAAAUAAUAUAAAGAAGAUAGUAGACGAACGUGUUGCCGAAACUAAUGCACAUCAUCGUGUGGAGGUGAAACCUGUUGAGGUCAACGUAGUCACCCAUCCUAUACAGAGCUACGCAGUUUGGUUCGGGGGUUCUGUAGCUGCAUCCAGCCAUGAAUUCUUCGAGUGCUGCCACACAAAGGAAGAUUACGAGGAGCAUGGAGCAAGCAUCUGCCGAACAAGCACCGUUUUCAAAGGAAUGUACUGA
RNAcentral lists this ribosomal RNA (1356 nucleotides) under Triticum aestivum (bread wheat). Its description in RNAcentral is "partial small subunit ribosomal RNA". Lineage: Eukaryota; Viridiplantae; Streptophyta; Magnoliopsida; Poales; Poaceae. The record is from RNAcentral.